RNAcentral lists this ribosomal RNA (671 nucleotides) under uncultured bacterium. Its description in RNAcentral is "bacterial SSU rRNA". It matches the Rfam family "Bacterial small subunit ribosomal RNA", at positions 58 to 721 of the family's 1533-position model. The record is from RNAcentral.
CAAGUCGGACGGCAGCACGGGUACUUGUACCUGGUGGCGAGUGGCGGACGGGUGAGUAAUGCUUAGGAAUCUACCAUGAAGUGGGGGACAACACGAGGAAACUCGUGCUAAUACCGCAUAUGUUUUUAAAGUAAAGAUGGCCUCUACUUGUAAGCUAUCGCUUCAUGAUGAGCCUAAGUCGGAUUAGCUUGUUGGUGGGGUAAAGGCCUACCAAGGCGACGAUCCGUAGCUGGUCUGAGAGGAUGAUCAGCCACACUGGGACUGAGACACGGCCCAGACUCCUACGGGAGGCAGCAGCGGGGAAUAUUGGACAAUGGGGGCAACCCUGAUCCAGCGAUGCCGCGUGUGUGAAGAAGGCCUGAGGGUUGUAAAGCACUUUAGUUGGGGAGGAGAUUACGCAUGUGAAUAAUGUGCGUAUGAGACGUUACCCAAAGAAUAAGCACCGGCUAACUCUGUGCCAGCAGCCGCGGUAAUACAGAGGGUGCAAGCGUUAAUCGGAGUUACUGGGCGUAAAGGGCGCGUAGGCGGUAGAUUAAGUCAGUUGUGAAAGCCCAGGGCUCAACCUUGGAACUGCAAUUGAUACUGGUCAACUAGAGUCGAAGAGAGGGAAGCGGAAUUUCCGGUGUAGCGGUGAAAUGCGUAGAUAUCGGAAGGAACACCCGUGGCGAAGG